AAGUAACAAAACAUGAAAAAAGUCAAGGGGGGUGAAUACUUUUGCAAGGCACUGUAUGAAGUAUAAAACACUCCUAAAAUCAACAUAGACACAUAACCCCCAUUAAUACUUCAUAGUCCUAACUUUAAAUGUUGUAACUUAUUUGAUCUCAGUCCCUCCUAGGGUUCCCGUUGCGGAGCUCACACAAUACACCGGAACCUCUAUUUGCAUGCAGCAAUUCUAAUUGCUGGACGCAAUUGCGCUUCUGCCGGCACUCAGAUUUCAGCGGAUGCGAGAAAAAAAGGGAUUUCCGGUACCUCAGAAAGGAUUCAGAAGGUCUACAAAUUUUCAAAGUAAACAGCGGUUCAGACACCCAGAAAAGAAAGAUAGAGGUCCUAGGAAGUCGGGUUUUCUGUUCAGAGCCUCAAAUGAUUCUAAAUCCAAGGAUAAUCAAGAUUGACGCCAGGUGGGGGGGAGACUCUCCAAACUUUACCCGGCCUGGAAAGAGAUUACAAAAAACAAGUGGAUCUUAGACAUCAAUUCAAGAGGGCUUCAAAUAGAAUUUUUAUUCUCCUCAGGAAGAUAUAAUAAUUUUUUUUUAUUAUCAUUAUUUUUUUAAUUAUUAUUAUUAUUUUUUUAACCAAUAAUCCAAAAGAAGAAAAGGCUUUAAUUUUGCAAAGGGAGGUUGUUUCUUUACUUCUGAAAGGAGUUGUAAGUUUAGUUCCCGAGGCAUAAAGAGGAACCGGGUU
Long non-coding RNA from Bufo gargarizans (Asiatic toad), 728 nucleotides. RefSeq lists it as uncharacterized. The record is from RefSeq and is a predicted model, not a curated record. Lineage: Eukaryota; Metazoa; Chordata; Amphibia; Anura; Bufonidae. The transcript is spliced from 3 exons.